Drosophila virilis is the source of this 2357-nucleotide long non-coding RNA. RefSeq lists it as uncharacterized. NCBI's taxonomy places the organism in Eukaryota, Metazoa, Arthropoda, Insecta, Diptera, Drosophilidae. The record is from RefSeq and is a predicted model, not a curated record.
UUCAUACUCUAAAUAUAUUAUAUUGCCAAAUCGAUGGCGCGCUUUAUAAGUGGUACGAAAAUUAGCUCACAACUCUGCGAAAUAAAUAACUUAAGAAAAGGGAAUUCUCCAAAGUCCUAUAAAGCCUAUAAAUCCUCAUUUAACUUAUAUUAGUACAUUUUGGUACUCUAAGUAAGGAGAAUAAUAAUGGGAAUUCAAGUGUUAUAAUCUUCCAGGUAUUUUAUUGAUAUUGAGUACGAAUUCGAGUGUAUUUCAGUAACCCGAUAGCAGAGUAUCUUUUAGUUGAUCAAUUUUAAGAUACUUUUUUCAUUCUCAGAUAAGUAACUGCAACCAAAUUGAAUAUUUAAUCUAAAAAUAAUCGCACAAAGAAAUAUUGUUUCGUGGGCUUUUGCUCUUCUCUAGAAAGAGGGAAAUUCUUGAAGAGCUUAUUGCGUCGUAGAUUCUUCCCCUUUUCAUAGCAUGUCAUUCGAAUGUGUCAUUCGAAUGUAAGUACAUAAGUAGAUCUGUAUGACAUUGCCAUACGCCCCCACAAAAAUGUGGGUGUUUUGGACAAUUUCCCACGAUAUGCGUGUGAUGGGUUGCAGAAAAAAAAAAAACAUUUUGUCAAUAGCCCAGCAAUUCGAGCCACAAUAACAACACUUAACGCUUCGAGAAACAGUUAGUCAUAGUCAUGGCAAGAUCAGCAGACACUGCAAAAUAUUCGAAAACAACAAAAAAAAAAUGUUGACUGUAGCCGCAAGCGGCGGCCUUAUUGAAACACACGAGUGGAUACACCUUAUAUAUGUAUAAAUAUUAGGUACAAAUCGGGGCUCUUAGCCAUAAUUAGAGCGGACGACGCAGAGAGGGGCAGAGGCAAAGAGAUGGCGAGAGGCGGGCUGGACUCGCUCACGCACGGGCCCAGGUAGAAAAGAUUGAUGGAUGAAGCUGAAGCUGAAGCUGAGCUGCGCUCUGAAGUGUCAAAGCUGCAGCUCAGCAUUGAGCUGGCGACAUUGACCUUUAUUUGCCGUGUACAUAGACCAAAUUAAUGAUUCGCUUGUAGCUCAACAACAAUAACAACAAUUGCACGUGGCACGCUCCGGCUUCAGCCACCUGACCGAACCGCAAAGUGAACCAAUUUUGUUUUACCAAUUUGAUCAGCAUUUUGGUUUCGACCAUUUCAUGGCUCCAUUUCUACUGACUCAUGUGCGUUUAUUGCUGGCAGUUGCCUUUUUGCACACGAAUUUCGUUUCAUGAUUAGCCCCGCCAAUAACUGUAAAUCAUUCGGGCCAACAACAGCGACAGCUAGCACCACUCGCCGAUCAACGAUAUUGUGCUCCGACUGGAUUUCGUACAAGCCAACAUUUCAUCUCUGGAAGCGCUAAAUUACAGCUACACUUUUGGCUAACAGCUUGGUUCAAAGGCAGCUCCAAUGUCACCAGCAAUGCGGCUGCAAACGGAGGAGGGUUCCGGGCCGGAAUCUUCGCUGCUUCGUUUAUUGAAUGACUUUUCAAAAAUUACCGCGCUCAUUUGUGCUGAAAGUUAAAUUGAAGAAAUUUUGAUAAUGCUGAGAAUAUCAAUGCUACAUGAUAAAGUUGUCCAAUUCGGAAGGUUCCCCCUGCUAAAGAAAGCCGGACCUACGCAAACGGAUGGAAAGAGGGUUAGACGGACAUGGCUAUAUCAACUUGUAUGUUAAUGCUGAUCUGGAAUAUAUAUACUUUAUGAGGCUGGAGAUACCUCCAUCACUUCUCUACUUCAUGUCAAAAUUCAAGUGUAUCAAAAUGAGAUGAGUUAAGGUACGUAAUCAUAAAAGUCGCACAAGCAGAAAGAUAUAUGGUAUUUCAUCAGUAAUUGAUUCGACGUGUUAUUUACUUGGACGUUACUCACAAUACUUAUUAGUCAACCGUUUUAAAUGCUAAGACUAAAGAUUUGCCUGUGCAUUUAAUUGGCUUAAAAAUUCAACUGCGUUUGGUUUCGGGCCAUGUUUAUAGACAUAUCAAAUUUCGCCUUGGUUCGUUGUGCAAAGUUGAUGAUAUUUUUUAACCAGGGAUUGGUUAAAGUACUAACUUCAUAAGGAAUAUGUUUAAAAAAAAAAAAGUGAUUCAAUUAGGUUUAGACAAUGCUAAUGGGGAAACGCCUAAUGAAGACAAGGCUACGACUGUGGAUCUUAAAAUCAAGCUAAGUUUUGGUAUCCAACUUUGUUUUUCAUAUCAUUAAAUUCAUUAAUAAUAUUCAAAUGCAAGAACUAGUUUUCUUUGAACCUAUAGUUUCAAAUAAUACAAAAAUAAUAUUCAAUAUUCACAGAUAUAUUCGAAAAUAUAUUAGUUUAUGUAUCGAAAAAUUACGAAUAAAUAAAGAAGAUAUAUUUUUAUUGCACAUUA